UUACGUGCCGGCUGUUAAACUUGCAGCCGAACGGAGAAGCCAGUUAGUUGGUGGUAGUGGGCGAACGGGUGGAGUAACACGUAGAGCAACCGGCCUCGGAUUCGGGAUAAGCGCUGGAAACGGCGUCUAAUACUGGAUAUCGAGGCGUUGAUUCGCAUUGGUCAACGUGUGGAAAGAUUUUUACGGUGCUAGGGAUGGGCUUCGCGGGCCUGUGCACCUUGUUGGUUGAGGUUAAUAGGCUUCACCAAGGACGUGCUACGGGUAAGCCCGGCCUGGAGUAGGGUCGUACCGGCCACACUGGGAACUGGAGACACGGCCCAGACUACCUCACGGGCAGGACAGCUAGAUGGGGGAAUCAUUUGCACCAAUGAAGACGGGAAGCCUUGAUGGCAGACAAACGCCCGACGUGAAGCGGGAUAGGAACUGGCUCUUUUCGGAGUUUAGUAAAACCCUCCUUUUUUCAGCCAGAGGCAAUAAAUCCGAAAAGUUGAACGGAUCACCCUCGCAAGUAAAAAAAACGUCGCUGACUUAAACUAACCGUUUGCCCCAGCCCUGGCCCGAAGGAUAAAUUACCGUUAAGGUGACUCCAAAACCCGUUUUCAUUCCCGGGAAAAUUUUAUUUUGGGGGUCCGUUAAAAAAGAAGGCUUCCGGUCAAGGCCGGGGUUUUAGGUUCCUCCGUUUCUUCGCCUCGGUAGGAAAAAAUUCCCCCCGGAACGGCCUUCCAAAACCCUUUCUCGUGAGCCCCUUGGC
This 751-nucleotide ribosomal RNA is filed under the name bacterium CZM4. RNAcentral describes it as "partial 16S ribosomal RNA". The stretch from base 26 to 338 matches the Rfam family "Bacterial small subunit ribosomal RNA", at positions 61 to 348 of the family's 1533-position model. The record is from RNAcentral.